GGUCAUGAGUGCCAGCGCGAAGCCCCGGCUUGCUGGCCGGCAACCCUCCAACCGCGGUGGGGUGCCCCGGGUGAUGACCAGGUUGAGUAGUCGCCACCGGCUACGCGGCAAGCGCGGGUC
RNAcentral lists this non-coding RNA (120 nucleotides) under Mycobacterium sp. RNAcentral's name for it is "SAM-IV sequence". It matches the Rfam family "SAM (S-adenosyl methionine) riboswitch aptamer". Rfam says of the family: SAM-IV is a mRNA element that regulates gene expression via direct sensing of S-adenosylmethionine (SAM or AdoMet). SAM-IV riboswitches share conserved nucleotide positions with the previously described SAM-I riboswitches sequence analysis and molecular recognition experiments suggest that SAM-I and SAM-IV riboswitches share similar ligand binding sites, but have different scaffolds. RNAcentral also lists the same sequence under 1 other name. The record is from RNAcentral. Lineage: Bacteria; Bacillati; Actinomycetota; Actinomycetes; Mycobacteriales; Mycobacteriaceae.